GGGGGGUAUUUUUGACACGUUUCGACAUACUAAUUGACUGACAGCAAUCUCAGACAUCUGUGAUAAUUAGUUAGUUUGUCAGGUGAGUUCAAUUAUAGAAAAAACUACUAAAAAAGGACGUUCCAAAUUUUCAAGCAACAUGGGAAAGAAAAAGGAUCUCUGCUGGUGAAACACAUGACAUACAUGCUUUGGACAAAAUAUUACGACUUUGGAUAUUUCACGAAAACAUGGGUCAACAGCAGCAUCAAAGCUCCUUGCUGCCUGACCUCCAUUAUAUGGACUGUCUGUGGAGAAGUCUAAAGAUCUGGACGUGGCGGCGGGCGCAAAGGAGGAGGAGCUCGCCCAGGAGGAGGGGGCAGUGUGCCAGCUGGUGGGAGACAGGG
This is a long non-coding RNA of Oryzias latipes (Japanese medaka), 383 nucleotides long. RefSeq lists it as uncharacterized. NCBI's taxonomy places the organism in Eukaryota, Metazoa, Chordata, Actinopteri, Beloniformes, Adrianichthyidae. The record is from RefSeq and is a predicted model, not a curated record.